CCUCAACGUUAUCUCAGUGGGCUAAGUCCUACAUACAGUAGGUAAUGGACAUACUUCAAGUUACACAGUCACGACAUAACCUGUUAAGGGUACAGCAUUACCGUGUAAUGUGUUAAGGGUACAGCAUUACCGUGUAAUGUGUUAAGGGUACAGCAUUACUGUGUAAUGUGUUAAGGGUACAGCAUUACUGUGUAAUGUGUUUAGGGUACAGCAUUACUGUGUAAUGUGUUUAGGGUACAGCAUUACCGUGUAAUGUGUUCAGAGUACAGCAUUACCGUGUAAUGUGUUAAGGGUACAGCAUUACCGUGUUAAGGGUACAGCAUUACCGUGUAAUGUGUUAAAGGUACAGCAUUACCGUGUAAUGUGUUAAGGGUACAGCAUUACCGUGUAAUGUGUUAAGGGUACAGCAUUACCGUGUAAUGUGUUUAGGGUACAGCAUUACCGUGUAAUGUGUUCAGAGUACAGCAUUACCGUGUAAUGUGUUAAGGGUACAGCAUUACCGUGUAAUGUGUUAAGGGUACAGCAUUACCGUGUAAUGUGUUUAGGGUACAGCAUUACCGUGUAAUGUGUUCAGAGUACAGCAUUACCGUGUAAUGUGUUAAGGGUACAGCAUUACCGUGUUAAGGGUACAGCAUUACCGUGUAAUGUGUUUAGGGUACAGCAUUACGGUGUUAAGGGUACAGCAUUACCGUGUAAUGUGUUUAGGGUACAGCAUUACGGUGUUAAGGGUACAGCAUUACCGUGUAAUGUGUUAAGGGUACAGCAUUACCGUGUAAUGUGUUAAGGGUACAGCAUUACCGUGUAAUGUGUUUAGGGUACAGCAUUACCGUGUAAUGUGUUUAGGGUACAGCAUUACCGUGUAAUGUGUUAAGGGUACAGCAUUACCGUGUUAAGGGUACAGCAUUACCGUGUUAAGGGUACAGCAUUACCGUGUUAAGGGUACAGCAUUACCGUGUAAUGUGUUUAGGGUACAGCAUUACCGUGUAAUGUGUUAAGGGUACAGCAUUACCGUGUAAUGUGUUAAGGGUACAGCAUUACCGUGUUAAGGGUACAGCAUUACCGUGUUAAGGGUACAGCAUUACCGUGUUAAGGGUACAGCAUUACCGUGUAAUGUGUUUAGGGUACAGCAUUACCGUGUAAUGUGUUAAGGGUACAGCAUUACCGUGUAAUGUGUUAAGGGUACAGCAUUACCGUGUAAUGUGUUAAGGGUACAGCAUUACCGUGUAAUGUGUUAAGGGUACAGCAUUACCGUGUUAAGGGUACAGCAUUACCGUGUUAAGGGUACAGCAUUACCGUGUUAAGGGUACAGCAUUACCGUGUAAUGUGUUUAGGGUACAGCAUUACCGUGUAAUGUGUUAAGGGUACGGCAUUACCGUGUAAUGUGUUAAGGGUACAGCAUUACCGUGUUAAGGGUACAGCAUUACCGUGUUAAGGGUACAGCAUUACUGUGUAAUGUGUUUAGGGUACAGCAUUACCGUGUAAUGUGUUAAGGGUACAGCAUUACCGUGUAAUGUGUUAAGGGUACAGCAUUACCGUGUAAUGUGUUAAGGGUACAGCAUUACCGUGUAAUGUGUUAAGGGUACAGCAUUACCGUGUAAUGUGUUUAGGGUACAGCAUUACCGUGUAAUGUGUUUAGGGUACAGCAUUACCGUGUAAUGUGUUAAGGGUACAGCAUUACCGUGUUAAGGGUACAGCAUUACCGUGUUAAGGGUACAGCAUUACCGUGUUAAGGGUACAGCAUUACCGUGUAAUGUGUUUAGGGUACAGCAUUACCGUGUAAUGUGUUAAGGGUACAGCAUUACCGUGUAAUGUGUUAAGGGUACAGCAUUACCGUGUAAUGUGUUAAGGGUACAGCAUUACCGUGUAAUGUGUUAAGGGUACAGCAUUACUGUGUAAUGUGUUAAGGGUACAGCAUUACCCUGUUAAGGGUACAGCAUUACCGUGUUAAGGGUACAGCAUUACCGUGUUAAGGGUACAGCAUUACCGUGUAAUGUGUUUAGGGUACAGCAUUACCGUGUAAUGUGUUAAGGGUACAGCAUUACCGUGUAAUGUGUUAAGGGUACAGCAUUACCGUGUUAAGGGUACAGCAUUACCGUGUUAAGGGUACAGCAUUACUGUGUAAUGUGUUUAGGGUACAGCAUUACCGUGUAAUGUGUUAAGGGUACAGCAUUACCGUGUAAUGUGUUAAGGGUACAGCAUUACCGUGUAAUGUGUUAAGGGUACAGCAUUACCGUGUUAAGGGUACAGCAUUACCGUGUUAAGGGUACAGCAUUACCGUGUUAAGGGUACAGCAUUACCGUGUAAUGUGUUUAGGGUACAGCAUUACCGUGUAAUGUGUUAAGGGUACAGCAUUACCGUGUAAUGUGUUAAGGGUACAGCAUUACCGUGUUAAGGGUACAGCAUUACCGUGUUAAGGGUACAGCAUUACUGUGUAAUGUGUUUAGGGUACAGCAUUACUGUGUAAUGUGUUUAGGGUACAGCAUUACCGUGUAAUGUGUUAAGGGUACAGCAUUACCGUGCAAUGUGUUAAGGGUACAGCAUUACUGUGUAAUGUGUUUAGGGUACAGCAUUACCGUGUAAUGUGUUAAGGGUACAGCAUUACCGUGUAAUGUGUUAAGGGUACAGCAUUACCAUGUAAUGUGUUAAGGGUACAGCAUUACCGUGUUAAGGGUACAGCAUUACCGUGUUAAGGGUACAGCAUUACCGUGUAAUGUGUUAAGGGUACAGCAUUACCGUGUAAUGUGUUAAGGGUACAGCAUUACCGUGUUAAGGGUACAGCAUUACCGUGUUAAGGGUACAGCAUUACUGUGUAAUGUGUUUAGGGUACAGCAUUACUGUGUAAUGUGUUUAGGGUACAGCAUUACUGUGUAAUGUGUUUAGGGUACAGCAUUACUGUGUAAUGUGUUUAGGGUACAGCAUUACCGUGUAAUGUGUUAAGGGUACAGCAUUACCGUGUAAUGUGUUAAGGGUACAGCAUUACCAUGUAAUGUGUUAAGGGUACAGCAUUACCGUGUUAAGGGUACAGCAUUACCGUGUUAAGGGUACAGCAUUACCGUGUAAUGUGUUUAGGGUACAGCAUUACCGUGUAAUGUGUUAAGGGUACAGCAUUACCGUGUAAUGUGUUAAGGGUACAGCAUUACCGUGUAACGUGUUAAGGGUACAUCAUUACCGUGUUAAGGAUACAGCAUUACCGUGUAAUGUGUUAAGGGUACAGCAUUACCGUGUUAAGGGUACAGCAUUACCGUGUUAAGGGUACAGCAUUACUGUGUAAUGUGUUCAGAGUACAGCAUUACCGUGUAACGUGUUAAGGGUACAGCAUUACCGUGUUAAGGGUACAGCAUUACCGUGUAAUGUGUUAAAGGUACAGCAUUACCGUGUUAAGGGUACAGCAUUACCGUGUUAAGGGUACAGCAUUACCGUGUAAUGUAAAGUGUGUUAAAAGACAUGACAGUACCACACUCACUGAGCUAGCAUAUCAAAAAUACAAGGACAAGAACAUGUAGAAGUCAACUAGUGACCCUCGGCUCAGUCACACUCACAGCGUGACCCUCGGCUCAGUCACACUCACAGCGUGACCCUCGGCUCAGUCACUCUCACAGCGUGACCCUCGGCUCAGUCACACUCACAGCGUGACCCUCGGCUCAGUCACACUCACAGCGUGACCCUCGGCUCAGUCACACUCACAGCGUGACCCUCGGCUCAGUCACACUCUCUCCUAACUGAAAUAAACGUAAUUACUGCCUGUAAGCACAAUGGAG
Oncorhynchus mykiss (rainbow trout) is the source of this 3758-nucleotide long non-coding RNA. Lineage: Eukaryota; Metazoa; Chordata; Actinopteri; Salmoniformes; Salmonidae. The record is from Ensembl.